UACGUAGGGGGCGAGCGUUGUCCGGAAUUAUUGGGCGUAAAGAGCGUGUAGGCGGUUCGGUAAGUCUGCCGUGAAAACCUGGGGCUCAACCCUGGGCGUGCGGUGGAUACUGCCGGGCUAGAGGGUGGUAGAGGCGAGUGGAAUUCCCGGUGUAGCGGUGAAAUGCGCAGAUAUCAGGAGGAACACCGAUUGCGAAGGCAGCUCGCUGGGACGGUACUGACGCUGAGACGCGAAAGCGUGGGGAGCAAACAGG
Molecule: ribosomal RNA, 253 nt
Filed under: uncultured bacterium
Lineage: Bacteria
Description: partial 16S ribosomal RNA
Rfam family: Bacterial small subunit ribosomal RNA
Source: RNAcentral